AUUGAACGCUGGCGGCAUGCCUUACACACGCAAGUCGAACGGCAGCACGGGAGCAAUCCUGGUGGCGAGUGGCGAACGGGUGAGUAAUGUAUCGGAACGUACCUUUCAGUGGGGGAUAACGUAGCGAAAGUUACGCUAAUACCGCAUAUUCUGUGAGCAGGAAAGCAGGGGAUCGCAAGACCUUGCGCUGAUUGAGCGGCCGAUAUCAGAUUAGCUAGUUGGUGAGGUAAAGGCUCACCAAGGCGACGAUCUGUAGCGGGUCUGAGAGGAUGAUCCGCCACACUGGAACUGAGACACGGUCCAGACUCCUACGGGAGGCAGCAGUGGGGAAUUUUGGACAAUGGGCGCAAGCCUGAUCCAGCCAUGCCGCGUGAGUGAAGAAGGCCUGGUU
RNAcentral lists this ribosomal RNA (391 nucleotides) under uncultured bacterium. RNAcentral's name for it is "bacterial SSU rRNA". It matches the Rfam family "Bacterial small subunit ribosomal RNA", at positions 30 to 424 of the family's 1533-position model. The record is from RNAcentral.